This 706-nucleotide long non-coding RNA is filed under the name Salmo salar (Atlantic salmon). Its description in RNAcentral is "lncRNA (ENSSSAG00000085401.1)". Lineage: Eukaryota; Metazoa; Chordata; Actinopteri; Salmoniformes; Salmonidae. The record is from RNAcentral.
CAAGCCUGUUCCUUUUAAGCUAGUUCCUUUGAAGUUCUCCCCUGUGUUUUCCCAUAGCACCUCAGCCUGCUGAGACAUCACAGUCAAAGAGUUGAGCAGUGCCAAGAAUACAUGCAUGUGGAACAUCAACCUGCGUUUGUGGCUUUGACAUAUGAUCCUACUGUUUCUGUCACUAAUCACCCCAGUAAGAGAAGCCUAACCAACACACCAGACCUGUCACUCAACCACCUACUCUCACUGCCCCUCGUCCUCCUCUCUCUCCUCCUCCCUCAGUAUCAUCAGUCCCUCUAUGCAUCAACACCUGCAGAGGAAGCAUAUUGCCCCUGUUCCUCCAAGAAGCACACCACAGGAUCUAGAGAUUCCACAACUCCCCCAUAUGGUGGCUGUCCAGCACCAAAACCAAUAUUCUAACUCCAUACUUACCAUACCCGCAUGCCAAGAGAGAGGCCCACCGGCACCUCAGUCCACUGAUUGGUUUUGAAGGCCACGGUUUUCAAGGGAAGGUCUAUGGUCCAUCAGCUGAGCACAACCCCCACUCCAGUGAAUGGCUGUCGAUGAGGCCUCUGGUCCAGUGUAAUGACAACCUCAUGAUGCUCACUGCAUCUGGACGAGGAUACACACAUCUACUGGUGGAUAGAGCGGGCGCCUCUCCCAUCUCCCUGUUCCAGCUGCCGCCGUCCUGUGGUUACCAUGUGAAGACUACCUG